This is a long non-coding RNA of Anolis carolinensis (green anole), 4591 nucleotides long. Lineage: Eukaryota; Metazoa; Chordata; Lepidosauria; Squamata; Anolidae. The record is from Ensembl.
AUGAGAGGCUGCCAUCAUAGGCACAGUGCUGUUGCUUAUAUUUUAGAGGCAGGAACUGGCAAAACCAUCCUCAAGUAUUCCUUGCCUAAGAGGACCCAUGGAGUGACUAAAAGGCUCGUGAAACACACAAUGGAUAUUGAUGAAAUCCCUUCCAAUUCCAGGCUCCAGUCAAUGAAUUUGAUAAUAGAGAAAGAUAAAGAGAUCUUUGAUAUCUUAUUUGCAAUUCUUUGGGGAUUUUCCCCCUUUCCACUUCUAGCUCUCACAUCCUGUCCAAAUUGUGAUGACUUCUCUGUGCCUGAAGGUUCAUCCAAGGUGAUCGCUGCAAAUGUAUCAGCCUAUCCCAAAAUGCUUGUUCUGCAUAAAAACAAUUCUCCUAUUAGUUUGGAAAAAAUUCUGUUCAUAAACAAAGGUCAGAUACAAUUUGUGGAGACUGCAUGGACAGACUAUUUCUAUAUGUCUGGAAAUGAUCUUGCUAUCAAGAAUGCAAACGAAGUGCUCACUGGAUGCUACCAGCUUGCCUAUCAACUUAACGAACUUAGUGUGAAGCAAUUUUGCCUUGCAAUUCUAGGUCCAUGGAAUUGUUCUUCUGAUAGCUUCUCCUUAGCAGAAGGUUCCUCUGAAAAGAUCAUUGCUAACAAAUCCACCAACUCCUUUGAUCUUGCUUUAUAUAAGAAAGUUAAUGUUAGCUCUGACUGGGAACACAUUCUAAACAUAACUGAUGGACACCUGAGCUACAUUAGAGAGGAAUAUAAAAACAAUUUCUUGCUAUCGGAGGACGGCCUUACUCUGAAGAAUGCAACCAAAGGGCUCACUGGAGAGUAUCAGCUUGUUGGGGAAGGUAAUAAGACCUGUGUGCAGCAAUUCUUCCUUAAUGUCACAGGUAAGAUUCUGGAACUACUGUUCUGACGUCUCGGCUAUUGUAAGAGUGGAAGGAGAUAUAGUUUACAUUUCUUUUUGUUUCUUACUGGAUGUUUAUACAGGGUUUCUUCACCAUUGGUUCUCCAGAUGUUUUGUACUUCUGCUCCAAGAAUCUAUCAUGUUACCAAAGGCUUCUGGGAACUAAAGUACAGUAGAGCUGAAGAGAUUAUUGGUUGUGUAUCCCAGGUCUAAAGAACGGAGAGCUACCUUUUAUGGGUGUUUGCUAUUAUUUCUUUUAAGCAUCUUUCUUUUGAGGGACCCUGUGUAUACAAAGGAGCUAGAAUGCUUCUCUAAACUUGGGACAAGAAAAAAUCAGCUUUAAAAGCAACUAGCCUAUCCAAUAUGUGACCCAUCCCACUAAAUGUAGCCCAUGCUGAUUAUAUUACUGUGUCUUGAUGUUAGUGAUGGCUGUCAGUUAUUCUAGUGCUGUUAAGAACAGUUGCUGAAGAGCAGUAAGACUAUGGAGACCUGUGUUCAAAUGUGCACUUAGUCAUGGAAUGUAACCAAGAGUGAUCUUGGUGCAGUUAAUCUCUCAGCCUUAAGGGAAUGCAGUGUCAGGCCUCCUCUGUAUAAUCUUACCAAGAAAAUACUGCCUGAAGUUGGAGUCAACUUGAAGGCAUGCCACCACCACCCUUUUAUAAGUGUGUGCAAGCUGACUUUUUUUCCUUCUCCAUUUUAGGUUCAGGAGCCACCCGUGAUUCUACCAGUUCAGCAAUACCUAUUGGUAUUUUUAUUCUAGUAGUAAUUCUGGCACUAUGUGUGGGAUCCUUUAUAUAUCGCAAAAAGAAAAGAAGAGAAGAAAACAGAAAUGAAUUUGCUCAUCACUCUACAAAAGUGCAGGAUUCUGAAAAUGGAUUUCUGCAGCAUGGAACUGAAGCAACUGAAAUGCAAGGAACUGAAAUGGACAAACAUAGAAGAUACAACAGGGAUCUUUCUCCUAAAAAUGAAGAAGUGCCACAUUCUCACUGUGCGGAGUAAGCUCUGUUCUGUGGCUUACAAAGUUAGUAGGAGAAAUGUUGGUUUGUGCACGGACACUAUUUACCUUUUCUCUUUUUAAGCAUUAUAGCUUUACCUCUAUUUAUAUUGCUGCUGUAUUUUCCCAUUAGGUUUUAUAAACUUCUCCAAUUGGUCUUUCUUCUGCUAUUUGAGGCCCCAACCAGCAUAGUCAUUUUAAAGUUAGAAAGUGCCUGAACAGAGCAUUUCCUUUCCUACUCCAUGAUCUCUAUUUUUAAUUUUUAUUUUCCAAAAGUCAUGCUGUAGCUAUUGAGGGCCCUUCCACAUAGCCAUAUAACCCAGAAUAUCAAGGCAGAUAAUCCACAAUAUCUGCUUUGAAAUGGGUUAUCUGAGUCCACAUUGCCAUAUAAUCCAGUUCAAUGCAGAUAUUAUACAGCUGUGUGGAAGGGGCCUGAGCUUGCUCCUUCCAUGUUAGGUUUUUGUGAUUUGGAUAUUUCCCCUUCUUUAGACUCUUUUGCGCUAAAGAAAAAUAAUAUAAAGACACUUUUAAGCACAGUGAUACAUACUUCUUGUUUCUCAUUGCCACAUUUUAAUUAUAUUUCAGCAAUCCUUCAAGUGAUGGCUAUGUUAGAUAAAAUUUAUUGCUUAAUAUACCUUAUAGCUGGGUCUCACACAGGAAGGUACUGCCUAUAUCCUGAAAAUUGACUGGAAAGUAUUUCUGCUGCUUUAAUAAGGGGUUAAUUGUUAGCUACUAAGAUGAAUUUACCCAGUAGAGGACCCUUGUGGAGACCAAACUCUAUAGAGCUCAAGUCGCAUUGUAUAGAACGGCAUAAUAAAAUACUGUCCCUUAUAUAAAAUGCCGAAAAAAAUCCCUUUAAAAAUAUUUUAAAAUAAUAUUUCUCCAUACCCCCCCCCCCCCCCCAAAUGCACACACAUUAAUCUGGGCAGCUUUUCAGAAACAAUGAACAACUGUUGGUCUCCCUGCCGAAUACUAAAUCCUUUGAAUUGCUCUUGUCUUGUCUUGUGAUUACAUGUCGUUUAUUUAUUUAUUUUAAAUAUUUAUAUUUUGCUUUUCUCACCCCGAAAGGGACUCAGGGCAGAGCACAACAUAUAUACGGCAAGCAUUCCAUGCCAGGACAUAAAAUAAUUAUAAAUAUACACAAACAUUAGUGGAGUAGGUUUCCUAUUAUUGCCUCACCAGCCCCCUAAAGGGCUAGUAAAUGGAGAUAGUGCCCUCUGUAAAACAUUUUGAAAACCUUUUUGUGUAUUGAAAUAUCACUUAAGCAUUUUUUAACAGAGUUUAGAAAAAAGAAGAAAGAAUUAAAAUGUACAUGAAAGAAGCAGAAGUCAUUUCAUGAAGGCAGCAGACAACUUGUUGGCAACAUGUUUAAGAGCAUAGGUCCAAAACUUGUUCAAAUUAAUAUGAGUUUACCUGGAAUUAUAUUUAUUUAGUUUAUCUCCUGCCUUUCUCCCAAUGUCAGUCUAUGUGGUGCUACUAAGAUGAGACUUUUAAUAUGCAGUGCUAAUAUAUCCUACGUCAUUUGGGAAAUUGUCAAGAGUUCCCAACAAUAAAGCUUCCAUGUUUGUCAGCUGUAUGUGACAUCAUUUCUUCUUUUCCCCAAACAUCUUUAAGGGCUACUUUUUGCCUGGUAAUUAUAGCAUCCUUGGCCUUUCUCCUGGGAUAUAUCCUCCUCCUUGUAGCAUUUUAAUGUUGGCUCCUGAUCAAAUGUGUUUAUUUUCCUCUAUACAUAUUGGAUAAUGCCGGUUAUUGGUUUUAUUUUUUCAGUAUGUGAAUUUCCCCCAUGCCCCUUUUCCAUGCAUAUACUUUCCACCAUGCCUUCCUUGGUUCCAGAAUCCUAUUUCACUCCCAUCACUCUGGGAGUGCUUUAAUUGUGCUUAUACUGCAUGGCAAAAGGGAGUUCUUCCCCUGGGUCUUCCACUGAAACAUUAACUUUAUGUUGGUUAAAAUUGUUCUUUAUUUUAAAUAUUGCAUUGUUGUUUAUUUCUUUCCCUUUUUUGCACUACAAACAAGACAUGUGCAAUGUGCAUAGGAAUUUAUUCAUGUUUUUUUCUUCAAUUACUUCACACAAACACUCUCAAUCCACCUGCCACUGGCCCAACAUGUCUGUCAAUUUUUAAAAUGUAAUACAUCAAAAAGAUUCCCCAUGUCAUUCUCAUAUGUGUGUGUGUGUGUGUGUGUUCCGUCCCCCAGGACGAUGGUUUGCCUUACUUAUUGGUCGUUUGUUUUCCCUCCUUUGCAUUUUGUUUCAGCCUUUGGCUGCAAAGCCCAGGAAAGGUGGCUUGAAGUCUGCAAGAGCUGGCUGCAGUUUUCUUUGCAAUGAUUGGUCAAAGAGUACAACAUCUUAGGACCGCCCUUUUUACCAGGGUCUAGUCUCCAUUUUAGAGUUUCAUUCUGGCUAUAGUCUUCCAACGUGCUGGAGCUGUGCAAGGCUAACUGGGACAAAUCAUCCUCAAAACCAGGCCAAUCUAAGCCUAUCCAAAUUAGAUAAGUAUUGAAUUAUAUUGAUCUGGAAUAGGAAAUCUAGUUAGAGGAGCAAAGUUAUUCCAUCGCUUCUAGAACUAAUCUUUGCUGUAAAGAUAGGGAAGGAAAGAGUUUCUCCUUCUAAUAUAGACAGCGUGAUUAGGGUAUAGUGGUUUUAUAAUCACCUUUGCCUUCUGGAACCAGGGAUAAUUCUGCAACUAAAACCUGGACAGGCCU